AUGAUACGCGAGGAACCUUACCAAGGCUUAAAUGGGAAUGACAGGUUUAGAAAUAGACUUUUCUUCGGACAUUUUUCAAGGUGCUGCAUGGUCGUCGUCAGCUCGUGCCUGAGGUGUUAGGUUAAGUCCUGCAACGAGCGCAACCCCCGUCACUAGUUGCCAUCAUUAAGUUGGGGACUCUAGUGAGACCGCCUACGCAAGUAGAGAGGAAGGUGGGGAUGACGUCAAAUCAUCACGGCCCUUACGCCUUGGGCCACACACGUAAUACAAUGGCCGGUACAGAGGGCAGCUACACUGCGAAGUGAUGCAAAUCUCGAAAGCCGGUCUCAGUUCGGAUUGGAGUCUGCAACUCGACUCUAUGAAGCCGGAAUCGCUAGUAAUCGCGCAUCAGCCAUGGCGCGGUGAAUACGUUCCCGGGCCUUGUACACACCACCCGUCAAGCCAUGGAAGUCUGGGGUACCUGAAGUCCGGUGACCGUAACAGGAG
This 486-nucleotide ribosomal RNA is filed under the name Microbacterium keratanolyticum. RNAcentral's name for it is "bacterial SSU rRNA". It matches the Rfam family "Bacterial small subunit ribosomal RNA", at positions 954 to 1448 of the family's 1533-position model. RNAcentral also lists the same sequence under 1 other name. Lineage: Bacteria; Bacillati; Actinomycetota; Actinomycetes; Micrococcales; Microbacteriaceae. The record is from RNAcentral.